This is a long non-coding RNA of Salvelinus namaycush (lake trout), 524 nucleotides long. RefSeq lists it as uncharacterized. NCBI's taxonomy places the organism in Eukaryota, Metazoa, Chordata, Actinopteri, Salmoniformes, Salmonidae. The record is from RefSeq and is a predicted model, not a curated record. The transcript has 3 exons.
UCUUGCUCCUAGACAAAUCAAACAACUUCUUUGCUUGCUUUGAGGACAAUACAGUGCCACUGACACGAUCCGCUACCAAAGCCUGUGUGCUCUCUUUCACGGUGUAAAACAUUUUAACAUGUUAACCCUCGCAAGGCUGCCUGGUGGCUGGUGUGUUUACAGGCAUAUUCAAUUAAUCCCUAUCCCAGUCUGCUGUGCUCACAUGCUUCAAGAUGGCCACCAUUGUUCCUGUUCCCAAGAAAGCUAAGCAGCUAAAGCUAGGACAAAGUGUCACAAGACUGUCUGCGUGGCACCAUGCUUCUAUAAACAACGACACUGUAGUGUUCCAUCUGACUGACUAGGGACAGGACCUGAGCCCUAGGACCAUGCCUCAGGACUACCUGGCCUGAUGACUCCUUGCUGUCACCAGUGCACUUGGUCAUGCAGCUGCUCCAGUUUCAAAUGUUCUGCCUGCGGCUAUGGAAACCUGACCUGUUCAUUGGACGUGCUACCUUGUCCCGGACAUGCUGUUUUGGACUCUCUCU